RNAcentral lists this long non-coding RNA (1084 nucleotides) under Physcomitrium patens. RNAcentral describes it as "long non-coding RNA (PPAT_LNC001034)". Lineage: Eukaryota; Viridiplantae; Streptophyta; Bryopsida; Funariales; Funariaceae. The record is from RNAcentral.
CAUCUGUUUACUAAAAAAAAUUAACAUAUUGCAUGUUAGAUAAAAGGUAUAUAUUUUACAAGUUUCAAAUUGAGAAAAUUAUUGUGUUGUGUAAAAAUGUGUAUUGGAUAUAUGUGUAAAAAUUAUAAAAGGAAAUUUAUACAUAUAUUCUCAAAAUAUAUAUAUAUAUAUAUAUAUAUAUAUAUGCACGCACUAGUUUUGAAUAUUUUGUUCAUUAACAUUUGAGUAUUUUGUUUAUUUAAAUUUAAAUACUUUGAACACAUAUAAUUGUACUGCUGUAAAAAAACAAUUGUUUCACUUAAACUAUUCACAUGUGCACAAUAGCCUCUUUUUUUGUUUUCCUUAAUGUUUUUUUUUUUUUUUUUUUUUUUUUUUUUUGCAAAGUAUCAAAUAUGUUAUUCUGAACAAAACUGUUGUAAAAUGAUAUAGUAUUCGUUUAAAAAAUUUCAAAGAAUCUUGUGAAAAACCUUCCAUAAAAAUCUUCUAAUGUUAUAUAACUUUGUGAUACCAAAAUAAAAAUAAAAAUAAUAAAUCAAUUUUCUCAUUCAGAUGUAACUUCUUAAUUUAGAAGUUUACGUUUCAAAGAAGAAUUUAAGAUAAUUUCACAAUUCUAUAUAUAUAUAUAUAUAUAUAUAUAUAUGUUUGUCACAGUAAAUUUUAAAAAUUACUUGACCCAACUUACAUUUUUUCAGCAUCAUUUUUAAGUUUCACUUGCUAACUUCCAUAUUCUGGCUUCUUUUGUGCAAAACAUUAAAAACUUCUACAACAUUUAUGAUAAGGCUCAGACGCUUUCUUCAUGUAUUACAAUCUUACACUGACAUUUAAUUGAAAAAAUAUAUGCAUUUUGUUCGUCAUUUUGAAAUCAUGUUUUAAAUUUUUUAUUUUACAUUAUUAUUAAAUAACUUAAAAUUUCAAGUGAUUAUCAUGUUUCGAUAUUAAUCAAAUUUCAGUUAAUUUCAAUGUUGACAACACCAACAACAUGCCUACAAUCGUUUUUAAAUGUAAUCAUAUAAAUAUAUUAAUACACUAUACUUUUUAAUUGACAUUUUUAUAUUUACAAUAAUAAAUAAAUAAAUAAACACAC